AACGCACAUUGCGCCCCCUGGCAUUCCGGGGGGCAUGCCCGUUCGAGCGUCAUUAAAUCCAAUCAAGCCUGGCUUGGUAUUGGGCGUCGGGGUCCCCCGCGCCUCAAUUUCACCGGCUGGCCGUCGCCCGUCUUAGCGUUGUGAUACACUUCUCGCUAGCGAUGGGACCGGACCACGCCGUUAGAACUCACGAAUUUCAAUCGAAAUUCAUCAAGGUUGACCUCGGAUCGGGUAGGAAUACCCGCUGAACUUAA
This 254-nucleotide unclassified non-coding RNA is filed under the name uncultured fungus. RNAcentral describes it as "partial contains 5.8S ribosomal RNA, internal transcribed spacer 2, and large subunit ribosomal RNA". Lineage: Eukaryota; Fungi. The record is from RNAcentral.